GUAGUUAGCCGGGGCUUUCUUACAGGGUAACGUCACUUCCUUCGUCCCCUGCGACAGAGGUUUACAAUCCGAAGACCUUCUUCCUUCACGCGGCGUUGCUGGGUCAGGCUUUCGCCCAUUGCCCAAUAUUCCCCACUGCUGCCUCCCGUAGGAGUCUGGACCGUAUCUCAGUUCCAGUGUGGCCGAUCACCCUCUCAGGUCGGCUACCCAUCGUUGCCUUGGUAGGCCAUUACCCCACCAACUAGCUAAUGGGACGCGAGCCCAUCCUAUACCGAAAUUCUUUGACCUCUCUGUCAUGCGACAAUAAGGUCUUAUGCGGUAUUAGCACCAGUUUCCCGGUGUUAUCCCCCUGUAUAGGCCAGGUUGCUCACGCGUUACUCACCCGUCCGCCGCUGAAAUCACCGGGUGCAAGCACCCUGUGAUUCCCGCUCGACUUGCAUGUGUUAGGCACGCCGCCAGCGUUCGUCCUGAACCAAGAUCAAAUUCUGA
Molecule: ribosomal RNA, 489 nt
Filed under: uncultured bacterium
Lineage: Bacteria
Description: partial 16S ribosomal RNA
Source: RNAcentral